RNAcentral lists this long non-coding RNA (1761 nucleotides) under Helianthus annuus (common sunflower). RNAcentral's name for it is "hypothetical non coding rna". Lineage: Eukaryota; Viridiplantae; Streptophyta; Magnoliopsida; Asterales; Asteraceae. The record is from RNAcentral.
AUACAAGUCACUAUUUCCACAUAUAUAAUCCAAGGGAAAACAACAAGCUUGAGAAUAAAAUUCAAACAGGUUCACUUCCCAGGUCAGCAGCCACACCCUGCUUCAUUUAAAUCAAAUGUAACCUAGUUCCAAAUGCCAAAAGAUAAUACAUAAUUCAGGAUUUUUAGGGAAUACAUAAUAUAACCAAAAUUAUGAAACAAUAUAUAUCAUACUUUUACAUACGUUCCCAUUUGCUGCUCCCAUUCUCCUAAGCUUUGUAGAUUCAGCAAAUGUAAAAUGCCUUGAACAUGACGGAAAUCCUUGUACAUGUUUAUCUAUAAGUUAUUAUCUAUAUUUCAAUCAAAGUUGUGAAAAAAUACAUACAGACCCAUCUUUGUAUAGCAAACUACUAAAAAGUGGCGUGAAGCAAAAUUUCAAAUGAAUAAAUAAAACUUAAGAAAGUACUCACUCUGAUAAAAGAGUUGCAUCCAGGUCAAACAGUUGCUUCAUUUCAGCAAAUAAUCAGUCUGUUAACGAGGUUGCUACUCGCAACCAUGAGAACUGAACCAACAAUCAGACCUUCUUCUCACUCCCCUCUGUAAAAGGUUUUAACUUUAGUCAUUAAUGAACAAAAUAUGUUACCUUUACAUGUAAUUUACCAUAUGAAUAAAAACCAAGUUAAAUCACUGAUGCAGUGAUGCAUCAUACUCCAUGUUUAGUUGUUACACUUCAGCAUUUGAUAGAAAAUAUUUUAACUCCUGUAAAAAGCUUAUAAAUUACAAGUAUUACCGUAGAGUAAAAUGCUAAUUCUACAUUAUUUAGAAACUAGAUAAUGGUAAAGAGCAAAGGCUUAAACGUUCUAUUCUUAGUUCUUACAUGAAUAAAUAUCAAAGUUAUCGCGAGUAUAUAAAAGCUAAACAAUACUACAUUGUCUAACAAAAAGUGUUAAAUAUGUGUAAAUUAUAUUAAUUAAACAUUAACAGCUAACCAAAGACAUUACAUUAUUUUCAUAGCUCAAAAGAAGGAUUACACUCCAUCAUUUAAAAAAAAAGCUAAACUUUGACCCAAUCUAUCAUGUAUAUUGUUUAAACUUCUAUUAUCAUAUUCAAGAAGCAACUCCAUUCAUGUUAAUAGUUUACUUUUCAUCAAAUGGCAGCAAAUCACUGGGGGUGUUUGGGAUUCCUUCUCAAAAACAACUUAUUAACUUAUAUAAGUCAUAAGUUAUAAGUUAGAAUUUCUAACUUCUCAAAAACAACUUUUUCACACACAAAAACAACUUAAAUAAGUUAAACCAAACACUAUAAAAACAACUUAUUUAACUUUUAUAAGUCAAUAACUUAUAAGAUGCUCCAAAAUAAGCUAACCCAAAAGUAAGGAUUUUGAUAUCUAGAAGCGGUAUAUGUACAUAACUAACAGUUACAAAAUAUUGUGUAUUGAAAAUAAGUGGAAGUAAGAAAAAAAACAGAUACCAACUUCUGAAUAACAUGAAACGAAUGUAAGGGAUGAUUCACCAAAUAGAAGCGAGACUCAUACCUUGGUGGAAGAUCCUUUCAUAUCUGAGAUCUGAGUGUUGGACCAGGAUAUCGAUGAAACCUCAAAUUGAUUGUUAGGCAGAACAGAAAUCGAUGAAGACAAAUACAUUUGGUGGUAUCAAUUUAAACCCAAUAUCAUUGUGAAAUGUCCAAAGACGAAAAACUGGAUGACAAUUGCUAGAGUGCAAGAACCAUUCACUCAAUUAGCGGUAAAACAAGUUGCAAUUAGAGACUAGAGAACCAAUCGUUC